Molecule: ribosomal RNA, 274 nt
Filed under: uncultured bacterium
Lineage: Bacteria
Description: partial 16S ribosomal RNA
Rfam family: Bacterial small subunit ribosomal RNA
Source: RNAcentral
AUACGGAGGGUGCGAGCGUUGUUCGGAAUUACUGGGCGUAAAGCGGGUGUAGGCGGUGGACCAAGUCAGGUGUGAAAGCCCUCGGCUCAACCGAGGAAGUGCAUCUGAAACUGGUUCACUAGAGUACGGGAGAGGAGAGUGGAAUUCCCAGUGUAGAGGUGAAAUUCGUAGAUAUUGGGAGGAACACCGGUGGCGAAGGCGGCUCUCUGGAACGAUACUGACGCUGAGACCCGAAAGCGUGGGGAGCAAACAGGAUUAGAAACCCCAGUAGUCC